Molecule: ribosomal RNA, 253 nt
Filed under: uncultured bacterium
Lineage: Bacteria
Description: partial 16S ribosomal RNA
Rfam family: Bacterial small subunit ribosomal RNA
Source: RNAcentral
UACAGAGGGGGCAAGCGUUAUUCGGAAUUAUUGGGCGUAAAGGGCGCGUAGGCGGCCUGGCAAGUGGAUGGUGAAAUCCCUCGGCUUAACCGAGGAACUGCCAUCCAGACUGCUUGGCUUGAGACCGGGAGAGGUGAGUGGAAUUCCCAGUGUAGCGGUGAAAUGCGUAGAUAUUGGGAGGAACACCAGUGGCGAAGGCGGCUCACUGGCCCGGUACUGACGCUGAGGCGCGAAAGCGUGGGGAGCAAACAGG